Molecule: ribosomal RNA, 402 nt
Filed under: uncultured dinoflagellate
Lineage: Eukaryota; Dinophyceae
Description: partial small subunit ribosomal RNA
Rfam family: Eukaryotic small subunit ribosomal RNA
Source: RNAcentral
GCUUGUCUCAAAGAUUAAGCCAUGCAUGUCUCAGUAUAAGCUUGUGCAUAGUGAAACUGCGAACGGCUCAUUAUAACAGUUAUAAUUUGUUUGGUGUUCAAGUUUACAUGGGUAACUGUGGCAAUUCUAGAGCUAAUACAUGCUGUUUUGCCUGACUCUGUGGUAAGGCUGUGCUUAUUAGUACCAGAACCAACCCAGGCUCCGCCUGGCCUUGAGGUGAUUCACAAUAACCGAACGAAUCGCAUAGCUGCCGCUGGCGAUAGACCAUUCAAGUUUCUGACCUAUCAGCUAUCGUCGGUAGGGUAUUGGCCUACCGUGGCAAUGACGGGUAACGGAGAAUUAGGGUUCGAUUCCGGAGAGGGAGCCUGAGAAACGGCUACCACAUCUAAGGAAGGCAGCAGG